AGAUAGAUAGAUAGAUAGAUAGAUAGAUAGAUAGAUAAAUAGAUAGAUAGAUAGAUGGAGAGAUAGACAGACAGACAGACCGACAGAUAGAUACAAGAUAAAAAAAAAAACAAGCAACGAAUUCUGUAUCUGCUUCAUAUUCUCAAGACAUGCAACAAUAAGAAAACACGCCAGCAAUUACUCACAAAAUAAUAUACAAUUUAAACAAAUUAUUCCCUCCAGAUGUUAUUAUAUGUAGAGAUAAGUUCUUACAUAAAGAAUUAGAACUUUAGGCUUCUGGAAAUAGUGAUUUGAACACGGAACAAGCAGCAGCGAUGUAUUUAAUCGCAAACCGUUUUUAUUGAACUUAAUGUAAUUGUUAUAUAUUGUUUCGAAUAUGAUACGUACGAUGGCAAUUAUUUCUGAUUUUUUGUUGCCGAUUCUAUUUGAACUCGUGUACUGAUGCGUCUAAGUUAAUAGGCAACUCGCUGAAACACUCUGAUAAACAACUAUACCACUUCGUUAAUAGGAGGCGUGUAAAGUGAAUUGUAUAUUUAUCUAUCCAUACAUACAUACACACACACACACACACACAAACAACAUAAAGAGAGAGAGAGAGAGAGAGAUUUAAGGAUAUACAUAGACACCUGCAUAUAUACCUUCACACAUACUUACAUAAAUACUUUCAUACAUACAUAAUACAUACAUACGAUACCAUACAAUGCCAUAAUAUACAUACUUAUUUUAUCGUUGGAACCAGGAGAAUGAAACGGAAGUCCGAUGCCACUGAGAUUUAGACUAAGAGUGUAACGUAAUAAAGUCAGGUACUGUACCAUCUGCGCCGUCUCCCAGUCGGAUAAGGCUAACAUCAGAAUAUAAGGCGCGGACGAUGAUUUUCAUGUUGAAAUGUUGUUAAGAACUGUCUAAUGCAACUGUGUAUGUUUCACAACAGGAAGCUAACUCAUCCAGG
Molecule: long non-coding RNA, 949 nt
Filed under: Octopus vulgaris (common octopus)
Lineage: Eukaryota; Metazoa; Mollusca; Cephalopoda; Octopoda; Octopodidae
Source: RNAcentral